This 3451-nucleotide ribosomal RNA is filed under the name Triticum aestivum (bread wheat). RNAcentral's name for it is "partial small subunit ribosomal RNA". Lineage: Eukaryota; Viridiplantae; Streptophyta; Magnoliopsida; Poales; Poaceae. The record is from RNAcentral.
CUCCCUCAUCUUUUCCCCCUUUUUCCUCUCACACGGCUCUCUCCUUUGCACUCUGCCCGGCGACCACCGGAACGUCAGUCGCGCGCGCUGCUGCCACCUGCUGCUGCGAGGAAGAGGCGACGAAGCAUCCGCCAUCACCAUCGUAUCGCCGUCACCACCGCGUGAUGCGUCGCAGCAUCCCGUCGCCGCCGUGCAGCAUCCACCGUCGCCGUCGUGUGCUUCGUCAUAGCAACCACGUCGCCGCCGCCCUACGAUGGAGCACCACCGUGCCGGUGGUGGUGCUGCAGUGAAGCUUCUCCGAGGCCAUCGGGUGCUUCGAUGGAGCACGGCAGGGGCAGCCGGUGCUGCAACGGAGAACCAAUGCGCGGUGGUGGCGUUUGUAGUGAAGCUCCGCCGGCAGGGUGCUGCGAUGGAGCCCGCCGUGCCGGUGUGGCGCUGCAAUGAAACAUCAGCGGCGUCGCCGGGGCUGCAAUGAAGCAUUGCCGGGUUCGUUAGGCUGCAAUGGAGCGCCGCCGGAGCUGCAAUGAAGCACGUCGGAGUUGUAGUGAAGCGCGCCGGAGCUGCAGUGAAGCAUGCCAGAGGGUCGCGCCGCCGGAGUUGCAAUGAAUCGCGCCGGAGGGUCGUUGAAAUUUGGUCGGGUUGCAAUGGAGCUCCACCGGAGCUGCAGUGAAGCACGCCGGAGGGUCGUCGAACCUGGUCUGGGUUGCAAUGGAGGGCCGGCGGCGCCGCUGGUGCUGCCAUGGAAGCUGCUGCUGGGGAUACAUAUGAUGGAUUUUGCGCCUGAUGGAUGGAAGAGCAGAGAAGGAAGACUGUGUUGUGCUACGAUGGAACGGCCACCUCGUCCAGAUUGGACGGCGGGCAAGGCUUAUCCGGCUUAUUUCUAGCAGCGGCCAUAAAUAAUCUAUAAAUACAUGCUUGCCUCGUGGGCAGAAACAGGGUACGACUUCCUGGAAGCUGCAGGCUUCUUCCACAGUAGAGUGAUCAGCCGAGCAGUACGACCUUGAUCGUUGAGCAGCUGCGGAGACAAGGAGCGGAGUCGACCAUGGAGGUGAUCGCGCCGGAGAUCGAGAAGGACGAGGCCCUAGAGGGCGACAGGGAGUCGGACCCUGCGCUGGCGUCGACGCGCGAGUGGCAGCUCGAGGCCAUGCCGCGGGUGGCAGGACGAGCUGACGGUCCGCGGCAUGGUGGCGGCGCUGCUGAUCGGGUUCAUCUACACCGUCAUCGUGCUGAAGCUCGUGCUCACCACGGGGCUGCUGCCCACGAUGAACGUCUCCGCCGCGCUGCUCUCCUUCCUGCUGCUCCGCGGGUGGACGCGCCUGCUGGACCGCUUCGGCAUCGUGUCCCGCCCCUUCACGCGGCAGGAGAACACCAUCGUCCAGACCUGCGGCGUGGCCUGCUACACCAUCGCGUUCGGCGGUGGGUUCGGGUCAACCUUGCUGGGCCUGAACAAGAAGACGUACGAGCUGGCCGGAGACUCGCCGGGCAACGUGCCGGGAAGCUGGAAGGAGCCACGGAUAGGCUGGAUGACGGGAUUGCUCCUCGCUUGCUGCUUCGGGGGCCUCCUCACCUUGAUUCCCCUCAGACAGGGAUUGGUCGUCGACUACAAAUUAGUUUACCCAAGUGAGACCGCAACUGCCAUUCUUAUAAACGGCUUUCAUACUGAUCAAGGGGACAAGAAUUCAAGGAAGCAAAUCCGUGGAUUCCUGAAAUACUUUGGGGGUAGCUUUCUAUGGAGUUUCUUCCAAUGGUUCUACACCGGAGGCGAUGGUUGUGGAUUUGUUCAGUUCCCUACUUUCGGGUUGAAGGCCUGGAAGCAGACAUUCUACUUUGACUUUAGCAUGACAUACGUUGGUGCCGGGAUGAUUUGCCCACAUAUAGUAAAUAUCUCUACCCUCCUUGGUGCAAUUAUCUCAUGGGGAAUACUGUGGCCACUCAUCAGCAAAAACAAGGGGGAUUGGUACCCUGCAAAAGUACCAGAAAGCAGCAUGAGAAGUUUGUACGGUUACAAGGCCUUCAUAUGCAUAGCUCUCAUCAUGGGGGAUGGCAUGUACCACUUCAUAAAAAUUGUUGGCAUCACUACUAUGAGCAUGUAUAGACAAUUUAGCCGCAAGCAGGUUGACAACAAAGAUAAGAACAAAGGACAACAUAAAAUUCAGUGCAUCAUCAUUCAAGGAAUGAGUUUUAUCUAAUGUUGAGCAAAUGAAUUACAGCAAAAAAUGUGGAUGAUACAGUCUCACUUGAGGAGUUUCAAUGCCAAGAGAUCUUCAAGAGAGGCCACAUCCCCUCUUGGAUGGCAUAUGCCGGUUAUGUCUUGUUUAGUGUUCUUGCGGUGGUUACCAUACCAGUAAUGUUCAAACAAGUGAAGUGGUACUAUGUAGUUAUAGCCUAUGUCUUCGCCCCCAUGCUUGGAUUCGCCAAUUCCUAUGGGACCGGGCUUACCGACAUUAACAUGGGCUAUAACUAUGGCAAGAUCGCUCUCUUCGUCUUUGCCGGAUGGGCCGGCAAGGAGGAUGGUGUCAUUGCAGGCCUUGUUGCUGGAACCUUAGUCAAGCGGCUGGUGCUUAUCUCUGCCGAUUUGAUGCAAGACUUCAAGACGGGUUAUCUCACUCAGACAUCACCUAAAUCCAUGAUGAUCUCACAAGUUAUUGGGACAACCAUGGGUUGCAUUGUCUCUCCCCUCACGUUCAUGCUCUUCUACAAGGCAUUUGAUAUUGGUAACCCAGAUGGCACUUGGAAGGCACCUUAUGCACUCAUAUACCGUAAUAUGGCGAUACUUGGUGUGGAGGGCUUCUCAGUGUUGCCGAAGUAUUGCCUUGCAAUCUCUGGUGGAUUUUUCGCAUUUGCUGCAGUUUUGAGUGUAGCAAGAGAUGUCAUGCCACACAAGUAUGCGAAGUAUGUGCCUCUACCAAUGGCAAUGGCAGUUCCAUUCCUUGUAGGUGGAAGCUUUGCUAUUGAUAUGUGCAUCGGGAGUUUGAUAGUUUUUGCCUGGACCAAGAUAAACAAGAAGGAGGCUGGCUUCAUGGUGCCCGCAGUUGCAUCUGCUUUGAUAUGUGGAGAUGGCAUAUGGACGUUCCCUGCUUCCUUGCUUGCUCUUGCCAAGAUUAAACCACCAAUUUGCAUGAAGUUUCUACCUGCAGCCUAGACUACUGAAAAGUAUGCUAGGUGGCCAAAGAUGCAUUGAAUUUUCAUAGUUGUGCCUCACUGAACUAUCUUUGCAGUGUGUUGUUUCAUUUGAGAUGCUUCGGUACUCAAGUUGUCUAGAGAUGAUACUGUAGUGUGUGGUUUUACGGUAUUACAACUUGGAAGAUUUUUCCUUUUCAUUGAUAUUCUUGGGUGUUUAUAACUGUAUUUUAUAUCACAUGUGCGUAUUAAGUUAAUGUGAAUACAUGGUAUGUACUUUGUGCUUGUACAUUUUUCAGAUAACUUGAUAUUUUUGUUACUAUAUGGCCCU